Molecule: ribosomal RNA, 301 nt
Filed under: uncultured bacterium
Lineage: Bacteria
Description: partial 16S ribosomal RNA
Rfam family: Bacterial small subunit ribosomal RNA
Source: RNAcentral
CAGUAGCCGCCACGGUAAUACGAAGGGUGCAAGCGUUACUCGGAAUUACUGGGCGUAAAGCGUGCGUAGGUGGUGGUUUAAGUCCGUUGUGAAAGCCCUGGGCUCAACCUGGGAAUUGCAGUGGAUACUGGGUCACUAGAGUGUGGUAGAGGAUAGUGGAAUUUCCGGUGUAGCAGUGAAAUGCGUAGAGAUCGGAAGGAACAUCUGUGGCGAAGGCGACUAUCUGGGCCAACACUGACACUGAGGCACGAAAGCGUGGGGAGCAAACAGGAUUAGAUACCCGGGUAGUCCCUGUCUCUUA